RNAcentral lists this ribosomal RNA (253 nucleotides) under uncultured bacterium. RNAcentral's name for it is "partial 16S ribosomal RNA". It matches the Rfam family "Bacterial small subunit ribosomal RNA", at positions 524 to 776 of the family's 1533-position model. The record is from RNAcentral.
UACAGAGGGGGCAAGCGUUGUUCGGAAUUACUGGGCGUAAAGGGCGCGUAGGCGGCCCGCUAAGUCGAACGUGAAAUCCCCGGGCUCAACCCGGGAACUGCGUCCGAUACUGGCAGGCUUGAAUCCGGGAGAGGGAUGCGGAAUUCCAGGUGUAGCGGUGAAAUUCGUAGAUAUGGGGAGGAACACCGGUGGCGAAGGCGGCCAUCUGGACGGAUACUGACGCUGAGACGCGAAAGCGUGGGGAGCAAACAGG